UGGGGAAUAUUGGACAAUGGGCGCAAGCCUGAUCCAGCCAUGCCGCGUGUGUGAAGAAGGCCUUUUGGUUGUAAAGCACUUUAAGCGAGGAGGAGGCUACUUGGAUUAAUACUCUAGGAUAGUGGACGUUACUCGCAGAAUAAGCACCGGCUAACUCUGUGCCAGCAGCCGCGGUAAUACAGAGGGUGCGAGCGUUAAUCGGAUUUACUGGGCGUAAAGCGUGCGUAGGCGGCUUUUUAAGUCGGAUGUGAAAUCCCUGAGCUUAACUUAGGAAUUGCAUUCGAUACUGGGGAGCUAGAGUAUGGGAGAGGAUGGUAGAAUUCCAGGUGUAGCGGUGAAAUGCGUAGAGAUCUGGAGGAAUACCGAUGGCGAAGGCAGCCAUCUGGCCUAAUACUGACGCUGAGGUACGAAAGCAUGGGGAGCAAACAGG
This 430-nucleotide ribosomal RNA is filed under the name Actinomycetes bacterium. Its description in RNAcentral is "Actinobacteria bacterium partial 16S ribosomal RNA". It matches the Rfam family "Bacterial small subunit ribosomal RNA", at positions 355 to 776 of the family's 1533-position model. The record is from RNAcentral. Lineage: Bacteria; Bacillati; Actinomycetota; Actinomycetes.